UGCACUUGUUCUCUUCUAAUGUUCCAUGUUGAUUUGAAGAAUUUCAUAUUGUUCUCUCCAAUUAUUUGCUUCAACUUGAUACCCAUGCAUCAACUGCUCCAUGUGAGAAACCCUUUUCAUCAUUUCAGUACCAAUGAGGGUGAUCUAAAAAAAAGGAAAAAGGUAAGGACCUUAAUAGAAGGGAAUAGCAAAUCAUUAAAAGGGAGUAUCUUUAAUGAUUAUUGUAUUAUGUCGUUCAUCCAAGUUAAAUAGUUGUGACUCUCAAACUUGACUCUCUCAAUUGGACCAACUAAGGGUUUCAACGGCACGUCAGCCCCACCUAAUUUUGUCAAAAGAUUACCAUUGGCAGGGACCUCGAUGACAACAUGUUUCAUGGCUCCACUUUUCACUAGAGGACCCAACCUUAGUUUGUUG
Molecule: long non-coding RNA, 414 nt
Filed under: Nicotiana benthamiana
Lineage: Eukaryota; Viridiplantae; Streptophyta; Magnoliopsida; Solanales; Solanaceae
Description: long non-coding RNA (NBEN_LNC012940)
Source: RNAcentral